RNAcentral lists this unclassified non-coding RNA (390 nucleotides) under soil metagenome. RNAcentral describes it as "partial contains 5.8S ribosomal RNA, internal transcribed spacer 2, and large subunit ribosomal RNA". The stretch from base 1 to 120 matches the Rfam family "5.8S ribosomal RNA", at positions 35 to 154 of the family's 154-position model. The record is from RNAcentral.
GAUGAAGAACGCAGCGAAAUGCGAUAAGUAAUGUGAAUUGCAGAAUUCAGUGAAUCAUCGAAUCUUUGAACGCACCUUGCACCCUUUGGCAUUCCGAAGGGUAUGCUCGUUUGAGUGUCAUUGUACUCUCACACUCCCGAUCUUUGGAUUGGGAGUGGUGGACUUGGGUGUUGCUGCAGCAGCUCUUACUGCGUGGCUCACCUCAAAUGCAUUAGUGCAACUCCUGGUUGGACAUAGUACGGCGUGAUAAGUGUCUUCGCCGGCGCCUCGCAAGAGGGUGGCUGAUUGGGAGCUCUGUGCUUCUUAACUGUCUUUGGACAAUCUCUGACAACUUGACCUCAAAUCAAGUAGGACUACCCGCUGAACUUAAGCAUAUCAAUAAGCGGAGGA